GACGAACGCUGGCGGCGUGCUUAACACAUGCAAGUCGAGCGGUAAGGCCCUUUCGGGGGUACACGAGCGGCGAACGGGUGAGUAACACGUGGGUGACCUGCCCUCAGCUCUGGGAUAAGCCCGGGAAACUGGGUCUAAUACCGGAUAUGACUUCAUGACGCAUGUUGUGGAGUGGAGAGCCUUGUGCGGCUGAGGAUGGGCCCGCGGCCUAUCAGCUUGUUGGGGGGGUG
This 230-nucleotide ribosomal RNA is filed under the name uncultured bacterium. Its description in RNAcentral is "partial 16S ribosomal RNA". It matches the Rfam family "Bacterial small subunit ribosomal RNA", at positions 28 to 259 of the family's 1533-position model. The record is from RNAcentral.